This is an RNA transcript of Propithecus coquereli (Coquerel's sifaka), 2943 nucleotides long. RefSeq lists it as uncharacterized. The transcript has 5 exons. The record is from RefSeq and is a predicted model, not a curated record. NCBI's taxonomy places the organism in Eukaryota, Metazoa, Chordata, Mammalia, Primates, Indriidae.
AUGGUGUACCUGAGCGCCUCUCUGAAGAAAUACCAGACGGAGCAAAGGAGCAAAGACGACGCCCUGGACAAGUGUCAGGCUGAGCUGAAGAAACUCCGCAAGAAGAGCCAGGGGAGCAAGGACCCGCAGAAGUACUCGGACAAGGAGCUGCCGUACAUCGACGCCAUGGGCAACAAGCAGGGCGAGCUGGAGGGCUACGUGCCCAACGGCUACCAGACGGCUCUCACCGAGGACCGCUGGCGGUUCUGCUUCCUCGUGGAGAAGCAGCACGCCGUGGCCAAGAACUCCGCCGCCCACCUCGCCAAGGGCAAGGAGCUGCUGGCCCAGAAGCUGCCGCUGCGGCAACGGGCCCGCGCCGACCCCACCAAGAUCCCCGACCAGCGGAUGCAGCAAGGGGCUAGCGGCAAUGGCGCCAUCCUCCCCAGCACCCUGUCGGCCUCCAAGUCCAACCUGGUCAUCUCAGACCCCAUUCCGGGCGCCAAGCCCCUGCCGGUGCCCCCCGAGCUGGCACCGUUUGUCGGGUCCCAGAGCAAGCUGAGCGACUCGUACUCCAACACGCUGCCCGUGCGCAAGAGCGUUACCCCCCAAAACAGCUAUGCAGCCACUGAGAACAAGACUCUGCCCCGCUCCAGCUCCAGGGCCGCCGGCCUGCAGCGCAACGGGCGCAUGCGGGUGAAGGCCAUCUUCUCCCACGCAGCGAGGGACAACAGCACCCUGCUGAGCUUCAAGGAAGGGGACCUCAUUGCUCUGCUGCUGCUCGAGGCCCAGGACGGCUGGCACUACGGCGAGAGCGAGAAGACCAAGAUGCUGCAGCAGAUGGCUGGCACCUUUAAGCAGCGGCCCUACAGCGUGGCCGUGCCCGCCUUCUCCCAGUGUCUGGACCACUAUGGUGCCAGGUCCGUGAGCAGGAAUCCCUUCACCCAUGUACAGCUGAAGCCCACGGUGACCAACGACAGCAAAAAAAAAAAAAAAAAAGAAAGAAAGCCUAAAGGUGUCGAAGGGAAUGUUCAGCUGGAAACCGGAGAUAAAAUAAACUUUAUAAUUGAUAACAAUGAACAUACUGGUGCUGUAAGUGCUCGUAACAUUGUGCUGUUGAAAAAGAAACAAGCCCGCUGUCAGGGAGUAGUUUGUUCCAUGAAGGGGGCAUUUGGCUUUAUCGAAAGAGGUGAUGUUGUAAAAGAGAUAUUCUUUCACUAUAGUGAAUUUAAGGGUGACCUAGAAACCUUACAGCCUGGAGAUGACGUGGAAUUCACAAUCAAGGACAGAAAUGGUAAAGAAAUUGCAACACAUGUCAGACUAUUGCCUCAAGGAACCGUCAUUUUUGAAGAUAUCAGCAUUGAACAUUUUGAAGGAAUUGUAACCAAAGUUAUUCCAAAAGUAGCCAGUAAAAACCAGAAUGACCCAUUGCCAGGAUGCAUCAAAGUUGCCUCUGUGAUUCCUAAAGAACUUCCCUUUGGAGACAAAGAUGCAAAAUCCAAGAUGACUGUUCUGGAAGGUGACCAUGUUAGGUUUAAUAUUUCAACAGAACGACGUGACAAAUCAGAAUGAGCAACCAAUAUGGAAGUUCUAUCAAAUACAUUUCAGUUCACUAAUAAAGCCAGAGAAAUGGAUGUGAUUGCUGCCCCGAGAGAUGGUUUUGGUUUCACCAAGUGUGUGGAUCGUGAUGCUCAUGUGUUCUUCUACUUCACUGAAAUUCUGGAUGGGAACCAGCUCCAUAUUGCAGAUGAAGUAGAGUUUACUGUGGUUCUUGAUAUGCUCUCUGCCCAAAGAAAUCAUGCUAUUAGGAUUAAAAAACUUCCCAAAGGCAUGGUUUCCUUCCAUUCCCAUUUGGAUCAUCGUUUUCUGGACACUGUAGAAAAAGAAGCCACUUUUUCCAAUCCUAAAAGCACUAGCACAAAUAAAGGCAAAGAGAAGGAGGCGGAGGAUGGCAUUAUUGCUUAUGAUGAUUGUGAGGUGAAACUGGCUAUUGCUUUUCGAGCCAAGGAUGUGGAAGGAUCUACUUCUCCUCAAAUAGGAGAUAAGGUUAAAUUUAGUAUUAGUGACAGAGGCCUGGACAGCAGAUUGCAACUUGUGUAUGACUUUUAGAUCAUAAUUCCAACUCCAAGAGGCUCUUGGGUUAUGUGGCAACUGUGACGGAUAAUUUUGGAUUUAUUGAAACAGCCAAUCAUAAUAAGGAAAUUUUGAAUUGUAUUGACUUUAUUUUACUGUAUGACCCCCGCUGUAAACAGUGGAUCAAGGUGGCCUCCAUGAACCAGUGCCGUGUGGAUUUCUACCUCGUCUCCAUUGAAGACACGCUGGUGGCCGUCGGAGGCCGGAAUGAGAAUGGAGCUCUCUCGUCGGUAGAAACGUACAGUCCCAAGACCGACUCCUGGUCCCAUGUGGCCGGCCUGCCAACGUUCACGUACGGCCACGCGGGCACCAUCUACAAAGACUUCGUGUACAUCUCGGGGGGCCACGACUACCAGAUCGGCCCUUACCGCAAGAACCUGCUGUGCUAGGACCACCGGAUGGACAUGUGAGAGGAGCAGCGGCCCAUGACCACGGCCCACGGAUGGCACAGCAUGUGCGGCCUGGGCGACAGCAUCUACUCCAUCGGGGGCAGCGAUGACAACAUCGAGUCUAUGGAGCGCUUUGUCGUGCUGGGCCUGGAGGCCUACAGCCCGCAGGCAACCAGUGGACCCCCGUGGCGCCGCUGCUGCACGCCAACAGCGAGUCGGGCGUGGCCGUGUGGAAGGGCCGCAUCUGCAUCCCGGCGGGUACAGCUGGGAGAACACCGCCUUCCCCAAGACCCUGCCGGUGUACGACCGCGAGGCCAACAAGUGGAGCAAAGGCAUCGACCUGCCCAAGGCCAUUGCCGGCCUGUCGGCCUGCGUCUGUGCCCUGAGGCCGCGGCUGGAGGACAAGAAGAAGGGCAAGGGCAAGAGACACCAGGACUGGGGCUAG